GAUGAACGCUAGCGACAGGCUUAACACAUGCAAGUCGAGGGGCAGCACAGGUAGCAAUACCGGGUGGCGACCGGCGCACGGGUGAGUAACGCGUAUGCAACUUACCUAUCAGAGGGGGAUAACCCGGCGAAAGUCGGACUAAUACCGCAUGAAGCAGGGGUCCCGCAUGGGGAUAUUUGCUAAAGAUUCAUCGCUGAUAGAUAGGCAUGCGUUCCAUUAGGCAGUUGGCGGGGUAACGGCCCACCAAACCGACGAUGGAUAGGGGUUCUGAGAGGAAGGUCCCCCACAUUGGUACUGAGACACGGACCAAACUCCUACGGGAGGCAGCAGUGAGGAAUAGUGGUCAAUGGCCGAGAGGCUGAACCAGCCAAGUCGCGUGAGGGAGGAAGGUUCUAUGGAUCGUAAACCUCUUUUAUAAGGGAAGAAAGUGCGGGACGUGUCCCGUUUUGUAUGUACCUUAUGAAUAAGGAUCGGCUAACUCCGUG
This 485-nucleotide ribosomal RNA is filed under the name uncultured bacterium. Its description in RNAcentral is "partial 16S ribosomal RNA". It matches the Rfam family "Bacterial small subunit ribosomal RNA", at positions 28 to 507 of the family's 1533-position model. The record is from RNAcentral.